AAAAAAAGUACCAAGGACAUUUAUAGGGACAUGGAGAACACACCCACUUAAUACAAGUUAGAGAGGAAUGAUUGAGAAUUUAGACGGUUUCCAUAUCAUUAUCAGAACCACAAUAUGGCAGAUUGAAUAUAUCCAAGUUACAAUAGUGACUCAAGACAAGAGGUAGACCUAGGAUGACACUACAAAGUGGUUACAAAGAAUUCAGUGUAACUAAGGCUUGGUAUAAACAUAGCCCAAAAGACAAAGGGGGGUCCACAUGGCUAAUCCCAAAUAAACUGAAAUUUAUGCGCAGUUGAGUUGCGUUUUUUUCCAGA
Molecule: unclassified non-coding RNA, 314 nt
Filed under: Hevea brasiliensis (rubber tree)
Lineage: Eukaryota; Viridiplantae; Streptophyta; Magnoliopsida; Malpighiales; Euphorbiaceae
Source: RNAcentral